This is a long non-coding RNA of Vicia villosa (hairy vetch), 1440 nucleotides long. RefSeq lists it as uncharacterized. The transcript has 3 exons. Lineage: Eukaryota; Viridiplantae; Streptophyta; Magnoliopsida; Fabales; Fabaceae. The record is from RefSeq and is a predicted model, not a curated record.
UUUUCGACUAAUAAUAAUUAUAAAAUUUUGAGUUUUUUAAAUAUUGCUGGGUUUUGAACUUCCACAUCAAAACCAACCUAAUUUAUAUGGUAUGAUACUCCUGUAGAUAAUUUAUGGCAAUUCUUUAUCAGAAAAAACUUGAAGUAUGAGGAAGUACAAGGGAUAAUCAAUGCUUAAUACGAGAAGAGAAAGCGGGGAUCACCAGAAAGAACAAAACGCCAAAAUCUACAAAGCUUUAUAAUUGAGACAUCUAACCGGAUCAAUCCUCCAAUCAUCAAAUUUGUUCCAACUCUUGAUACAUUUUUUUUGUUUCUUUUACUAAACAUGACAGUCUUAAAGGAGACAACCUGUGUGACCGUUGCCAUGUUGGGGAAAUUUGAGGAUGGCCAAGCAGGAUGUUAUUGUCAAGGAUGUGUUAAGUGCACAAAAAGUGUGUCUUUAAUAGAUGGAAAGCUGAUGUGAUAUGGUAAUCACAUCACCGUUGAAAAGGUGCCAAGGUAUAAGCUUGAAGUUUUGGCAACUGAUAUGAAAUUCAAGGCAAGGUUUGUCUUUUGGGAUGACAAUUGAGUGAAGUUAAUUGGAAAGUUUGCUUUUCAAAUGAGAAGGGAGUUGGUAGAGUUAGUUAAUUUCAGUUUGUUCAACAGAUAAUUUUUUAGAAUUUAAAUUUUAAUAUAGGUUUUGGUAUUAAUUCAGGCCAGUAAAGAUAUUCCCCUUGAAUUCCCUUAUGCAUUUGAUGCAAUUUUUAAAAAGUAGUUGGCCAUUAGAGCUGUUUUUCAGCCAAAAUAUGGCUGACUUUCUGUCAUUGGCUUCAAAGAUUACAAAGAUUCCCGUAAAAAAAGCGAUACUUCCCAAUAUAAUAUACUCAACUGUGUUUGAAGCAAGUGUCCUAAAAUCGUUGUGACAUCACAUCAUACACCAAAGUUUCAAACACCUGAUCCUUUGUCAUAAGAGGAACUAAGAAGUUUUUCAGUAAAUCAUUUCCUUAAAAUAUGAACACCUUGAGUACUACAUUUAUUGUUGCUUACUCUAAACUAAUAUUUUCUUAUGCAUGAUGAUUGCAGGAGCCUUUGUCUACAUCUGCAAAUUAUGACCCUGGUGUUGAAAAUUGUGUCCUGACUCUGUCAAAGAGAUCUUUAACUGAUGCAGUAGAAGAUAUUGAAAGUGUCCAACUUUCCUCAACCAAGAUAACCAAAGAGAUAAAAAAGGUGAAAUAAUUAGAACCCUAAGUAGAUCCUUUAGUUAGCCAAAAUGUUUUAAUGCAAAGAAUUGGAUUGUUUAUGUUAUGUUUUUACUUUGUGACUUUGGAGAUUUGUUUCUGUUUUAAAUUCAAGUUUAUUGACUAUGUUGAGUUUUUGGUUUUACAAUAUUAACAAUUGUGUUUCCUACAAGCAGAGAAGGAAUAAGUUUAAAAUUUAUAAGAAGUUGUUGUCAUCUAUUUCA